Molecule: ribosomal RNA, 427 nt
Filed under: uncultured archaeon
Lineage: Archaea
Description: bacterial SSU rRNA
Rfam family: Archaeal small subunit ribosomal RNA
Source: RNAcentral
UACCAGCCCCCUGAGUGGUAAGGACGAUUAUUUGGCUUAAAGCGUCCGUAGCCGGCUUAGUGAGUCUCUUGUUAAAUCCAAUGAUUCAAUCAUUGAACUGCAAGAGAUACUACUAUGCUAGAGGACGGGAGAGGUCGACGGUAGUCCAAGGGUAGGGGUGAAAUCCUAUAAUCCUUGGAGGACCACCAGUGACGAAGGCGGUCGACUAGAACGUGCCUGACGGUGAGGGACGAAAGCUGGGGGAGCGAACCGGAUUAGAUACCCGGGUAGUCCCAGCUGUAAACGAUGCGGGCUAGGUGUAGGGGCAGCUACGAGCUGCUCCUGUGCCGCAGAGAAAUUGUUAAGCCCGCCGCCUGGGGAUACGAUCGCAAGAUUGAAACUUAAAGGAAUUGGCGGGGAGCACCACAAGGGGUGAAGGCUGCGGUUU